CCCGCUGAACUUAAGCAUAUCAAUAAGCGGAGGAAAAGAAACUAACAAGGAUUCCCCUAGUAACUGCGAGUGAAGCGGGAAAAGCUCAAAUUUAAAAUCUGGCGGUCUCGCGGCCGUCCGAGUUGUAAUCUGGAGAAGCGUUUAUCCGCGUCGGACCGUGUACAAGUCUUCUGGAAGGGAGCGUCAUAGAGGGUGAGAAUCCCGUCUUUGACACGGACAACCGGUGCUUUUGCGAUGCGCUCUCGAAGAGUCGAGUUGUUUGGGAAUGCAGCUCAAAAUGGGUGGUGAACUCCAUCUAAAGCUAAAUAUUGGCGAGAGACCGAUAGCGAACAAGUACCGUGAGGGAAAGAUGAAAAGAACUUUGGAAAGAGAGUUAAACAGUACGUGAAAUUGCUGAAAGGGAAACGCUUGAAGUCAGUCGCGUCAUUCAGGGAUCAACCUUGCUUUUGCUUGGUGUACUUUCUGGUUGACGGGUCAGCAUCAAUUUUGACCAUUGGAAAAAGAUUAAGGGAAUGUGGCAUACAUAGUGAUGUGUUAUAGCCCUUGGUUGCAUACAAUGGUUGGGAUUGAGGAACUCAGCACGCCGCAAGGCCGGGUUUUUAUUAACCACGUACGUGCUUAGGAUGUUGGCAUAAUGGCUUUAAUCGACCCGUCUUGAAACACGG
This 665-nucleotide ribosomal RNA is filed under the name uncultured fungus. RNAcentral describes it as "eukaryotic LSU rRNA". It matches the Rfam family "Eukaryotic large subunit ribosomal RNA", at positions 24 to 664 of the family's 3401-position model. The record is from RNAcentral. Lineage: Eukaryota; Fungi.